RNA transcript from Pseudophryne corroboree (corroboree frog), 2035 nucleotides. It is a transcript of the gene named carbonic anhydrase 8, with no coding region annotated. The record is from RefSeq and is a predicted model, not a curated record. NCBI's taxonomy places the organism in Eukaryota, Metazoa, Chordata, Amphibia, Anura, Myobatrachidae. The transcript is spliced from 11 exons.
ACAAGUUACCGAGCACAUCAGCACAGUUCUUCCAGCAAACUCCAGUGCUGGCACCACCCACCUCCAGUACAACUCUACUCUAUGCUAUUACUUACCAGUGCCCAGUGGAAGCUGAUCCCAGCAGCAUACAGCACUUAAUUGCUGUGAUUAGCCCUCCCUUCCUCCUCUGCUACACAGUCCCAGGCAGCAGUGACAGCACGGUGGUGAGAGGGGAGGUAAUGUAACUGCAGCAUGUCUUCUAAUUACUUCGACUCCGGCCACUGUAGUCACUGCUAAGGACUGUCCUGAGGAGCAAGAAGAGGACGCAGAUGGCUGACCGCCACUACAUAGACAGCUCUCAGCUGCAAGGAGAGACUGAGAAACAGGAGUGGGGCUAUGUGGAAGGUGUUGAGUGGGGUUUACUAUACCCAGAAGCUAAUGGACAAUACCAAUCUCCAAUCAACAUAAAUUCGAGAGAAGCUCUAUAUGAUCCUUCAUUGCUAGAAGUUCAGCUGUGCCCGAACUAUGUUGUCUGCCGUGAUUGUGAUGUAAUUAAUGAUGGUCAUGUAGUUCAAAUACUCCUAAAGUCAAAAUCAGUUUUAACUGGUGGUCCUCUGCCUCGAAGCCAUGAAUAUGAAUUGCAUGAAGCAAGAUUUCACUGGGGCAAAGAGAAUCAGCGUGGUUCCGAGCACACAGUCAACUUCAAGGCUUUCCCAAUGGAGCUCCACCUUAUCCAUUGGAACUCUACGUUAUACAGGAAUAUUGAGGAAGCUGUGGGACAAGUGCAUGGGAUUGCUAUAAUUGCUUUAUUUGUGCAGAUAGGAAAAGAACACGCAGCCCUAAAAGCCAUAACAGAUAUUCUUGAGGAUAUCCAGUAUAAAGGAAAAUCUAAAACUGUUCCUUGUUUUAACCCCAACACAUUAUUACCAGCUUCGGCUCCUGGGCAUUGUCACCCUGUUUGUCCCUUCCUUUCAGAUCCCCUUCUCCGUGACUACUGGGUAUAUGAAGGAUCUCUUACAAUGCCACCUUGCAGUGAAGGCGUUACGUGGAUAUUAUUCCGAUACCCUUUGACAGUGUCCCAAACUCAGAUUGAAGAAUUUAGACGAUUGAGGAUGCAUGUAAAAGGAGCCGAUCUUGAUGAUGAAAGUGAUGGAAUCCUGGCUGAUAAUUUUAGACCAACCCAACCUCUGAGCGACAGGAUUAUUCGAGCUGCCUUCCAAUAAUCAGUAGCAAGGAGGCCGGCACCACAAAAAAGGUGUUGGUCACAAAUGGUUACGGAGGAGACUGGUCCUUCUCAUGUUGGUAUGCGCCAUCACUCCCCAUACCACUACCAGUGUCUAUGGUACAGCCACCUGAAGUUAUGCGGGUGGCAUAUUCAGGGGAUGAGGAAGAGGAUGAGGUGACUUUCAUCCUAACACCCAUUGAUCCACCAGCACCCAUGCGGCAGCAACAACCACUGUCCAACCCAUCAAUCACUUCACUGCUCUCUGCCUCCAGUGUGGAAGAACUUGCAUUCUCCCUCCACAAUUUCAGGGAGCACCAAUAUGGUUUUAUGCUGCAUAAAACCAUAUUGGUGCUCCCUGAAAUUGUUUGACUAUAUUAUCAAGCAGUUGUGGAGCCUCAACCGAUCAACAGCAGUGGCACUGGAGGCCAACAUAAGCAUAGCCAACAAUGUAGACAUGUGGCUGCAGGAGCUGACUGCUGCAACACGUGAUCAAUUACAGGCCACCCGAGAUCAGACAGCGGCCACACUGUAUGUAAGCAGACAGCAGCUUUUAUUUUUUGGAGAUUUUGGUAAUUUUUUAUUUGAGAGUUAAGAACUUGCACCCUAUUGCAUUGGCCGAGUUGCAUGUACAAAAUGGGACAAACUUCUGGAUGCAAAUUUGUACUGUACGAGUUCUGAAACAUGCGAGUUUGCAUGGACUCACAUCCUAUUACAUUGGUCAAAUUUGUAAAAUGUGUGAGUUUAGCACUAAUCUCACACUUUUCCAAACUCGCACCCUAUUACAUCUCGCCAAUUAUGUUUUAAAUCUGUGCUGGAUGCAUACAUAAAUAA